GAUGAACGCUGGCGGCGUGCCUAAUACAUGCAAGUCGAGCGAACGGACGAGAAGCUUGCUUCUCUGAUGUUAGCGACUGACGGGUGAGUAACACGUGGAUAACCUACCUAUAAGACUGGGAUAACUUCGGGAAACCGGAGCUAAUACCGGAUAAUAUUUUGAACCGCAUGGUUCAAAAGUGAAAGACGGUCUUGCUGUCACUUAUAGAUGGAUCCGCGCUGCAUUAGCUAGUUGGUAAGGUAACGGCUUACCAAGGCAACGAUGCAUAGCCGACCUGAGAGGGUGAUCGGCCACACUGGAACUGAGACACGGUCCAGACUCCUACGGGAGGCAGCAGUAGGGAAUCUUCCGCAAUGGGCGAAAGCCUGACGGAGCAACGCCGCGUGAGUGAUGAAGGUCUUCGGGUCGUAAAACUCUGUUAUUAGGGAAGAACAGAUGUGUAAGUAACUGUGCACAUCUUGACGGUACCUAAUCAGAAAGCCACGGCUAACUACGUG
RNAcentral lists this ribosomal RNA (497 nucleotides) under uncultured bacterium. RNAcentral describes it as "partial 16S ribosomal RNA". It matches the Rfam family "Bacterial small subunit ribosomal RNA", at positions 28 to 507 of the family's 1533-position model. The record is from RNAcentral.